Non-coding RNA from Gasterosteus aculeatus aculeatus (three-spined stickleback), 494 nucleotides. The record is from RefSeq and is a predicted model, not a curated record. Lineage: Eukaryota; Metazoa; Chordata; Actinopteri; Perciformes; Gasterosteidae.
UUGAACAAACAGAUGUCAGUUGACUUAGUCCAUCAGUUCACCUUUGGUGUGGGUGUGUGUCAGUAGAGGAUAAAAGUCCAACUUCAUUCUUAAUGUUAUUCACUUUUUGCCACUUGUUGAGUUGCAUUGACAGAAGACCAGAACCAUGAAGGUGUACUUGCUGCUACUGCUUCUGCUGCCACUUUGCACAGCUCAGAAAUUUACCAUUCAGUGUUAUGGUGAAGAUUUCCUGAUGGUCAACAACAUGCUGCUAGAUUGCAGCGGCCCAGUUCAACAAGCAUGCUACACCAGAGAUAACGGAGAAAAGGGUUGCACUAGUAAGGUCAACUGCUCUAAACCUGGAUGGACCUGUUGCCACACCGACCGCUGCAACGCUUGAGCCAAUCACAAUGCAGGGAUUACUGCCAUCAUUGAAAAACAUGUUGUGAAAUAGAGCGAGGGAAAUAUCCUCUUAGUGCUGUUUCUGUGACCUUAAUAAAGCAGUAACCUCAUUA